This is a long non-coding RNA of Meleagris gallopavo (turkey), 937 nucleotides long. RefSeq lists it as uncharacterized. Lineage: Eukaryota; Metazoa; Chordata; Aves; Galliformes; Phasianidae. The record is from RefSeq and is a predicted model, not a curated record.
UCCCGCGCAGCGGCUGCUGAGGGGAGGGGCUGCGUCCAGAGCAGAGCGGACGUAGGGGGAAGUACUGCUCCUUGCUGCACCAUCAGUAAUGGUUCCUGAGUCUAGCUAUGUUGACGACCCUGCUGAAAUCAGAGCACUUAAUUGAUAAGAUUAAACGUGUGCUCACUUCUGAUCGGCGCAGCUUGAGCGACCGUGCAGGAUCUGGAAACUUCUGUUAUGGAAAACGUGUUAAAGGAGGCCAGCCAGCUCACCUGUGUAACACAACAUCUCCUGCAACACAGCUGGUGGUAGGAGGAAUUGGAUGUAUUCUGUACAGAAAGAGGAAGCCAUCAACCUUGCAAAAAAAAAUCACAGAGCUCUAUGAACAGCCUGCAGGCAAUCUGCUUAAAGUUGAUCUUUCUCCUGUCUGGGUAAAGUGGGCAUCAAAACAGACUCUUCCUUAACCUCACCAAGAAAUGUGGUCUCAUUAUUUGUCUGUCCAGCUGUUGAUCAAGAUGGAUUUAUCCAGAAGAGAGUGGGGGAGAGCCAAGCCAAGGAACACUGCCUCCUUUGAAGAUAGCUCCCUUAACCAUGACAAAGAAUAAAGUCUGCGCUGCAAACAUUUCUCCUCUCAUAUGAAUUUUCUGCACCACCAUCAGUCUGGCUUAGACAAGAGUCACUCAACAGUUGAAGCAGACCAGUUCUCCUUCUACAAGCACAGGGCUGACAUCCAAGUUUGGGUGAGGAAGUCAGGAACAUUCCAAUAGAACCUUCUUGGUUGCAUAGAAAAUGUCCCACUGCUUUCAUCAGUGGGGCAUGGAGGUCACCAUAGCUCUUGGAAGAGCUGCAAGCAGUUUUCUACCCACCAAUGAGAGAAGAUUGUUUCUUCUGCAACCAGCCUGGCCUUGAAUACUUCCAGGGAUUGGAGAACCAAAGAUUUUCUGGGCAGCCUGUUCCA